Molecule: ribosomal RNA, 253 nt
Filed under: uncultured bacterium
Lineage: Bacteria
Description: partial 16S ribosomal RNA
Rfam family: Bacterial small subunit ribosomal RNA
Source: RNAcentral
UACGUAGGGUGCGAGCGUUAAUCGGAAUUACUGGGCGUAAAGCGUGCGCAGGCGGUCUGUUAAGUCAGAUGUGAAAUCCCCGGGCUUAACCUGGGAACUGCAUUGGUGACUGCAGCGCUGGAGUAUGGCAGAGGGGGGUGGAAUUCCACGUGUAGCAGUGAAAUGCGUAGAGAUGUGGAGGAACACCGAUGGCGAAGGCAGCCCCCUGGGCCAAUACUGACGCUCAUGCACGAAAGCGUGGGGAGCAAACAGG